RNAcentral lists this ribosomal RNA (459 nucleotides) under uncultured bacterium. RNAcentral describes it as "partial 16S ribosomal RNA". It matches the Rfam family "Bacterial small subunit ribosomal RNA", at positions 338 to 795 of the family's 1533-position model. The record is from RNAcentral.
CCUACGGGAGGCUGCAGUGAGGAAUAUUGGUCAAUGGGCGGGAGCCUGAACCAGCCAAGCCGCGUGAAGGAAGAAGGCGCUAGGGGUUGUAAACUUCUUUUGUCGGGGAACAAAGGGCUCCACGCGUGGGGUUGUGAGUGUACCCGAAGAAAAAGCAUCGGCUAACUCCGUGCCAGCAGCCGCGGUAAUACGGAGGAUGCGAGCGUUAUCCGGAUUUAUUGGGUUUAAAGGGUGCGUAGGCGGUCCGGAAAGUCAGCGGUAAAAGCUCGGGGCUCAACCGCGGCGAGCCGUUGAAACUGUCGGACUAGAGACGGCGAGAGGUAGGCGGAAUGCGCGGUGUAGCGGUGAAAUGCAUAGAUAUCGCGCAGAACUCCGAUUGCGAAGGCAGCGUACCGGCGCCGGACUGACGCUGAGGCACGAAAGCGUGGGUAUCGAACAGGAUUAGAUACCCCAGUAGUC